GUUUAAGCCGCCGCGGUAAUACGUAGGGGGCUAGCGUUGUCCGGAAUCAUUGGGCGUAAAGAGCGCGUAGGCGGCCAGAUAAGUCCGGUGUGAAAGUCACAGGCUCAACCUGUGAAUGCCGCUGGAAACUGUCUGGCUAGAGUCCGGAAGGGGCGAGUGGAAUUCCUGGUGUAGCGGUGAAAUGCGCAGAUAUCAGGAGGAACACCAAUGGCGAAGGCAGCUCGCUGGAACGGUACUGACGCUGUGGCGCGAAAGCGUGGGGAGCAAACAGGAUUAGAUACCCGGGUAGUCC
This 292-nucleotide ribosomal RNA is filed under the name uncultured bacterium. RNAcentral describes it as "partial 16S ribosomal RNA". It matches the Rfam family "Bacterial small subunit ribosomal RNA", at positions 505 to 796 of the family's 1533-position model. The record is from RNAcentral.